Molecule: long non-coding RNA, 1255 nt
Organism: Mauremys mutica (yellowpond turtle)
Lineage: Eukaryota; Metazoa; Chordata; Testudines; Geoemydidae
Exons: 3
Source: RefSeq, a predicted model, not a curated record
GACCUUUGCUCUGCUUCCCUGCAGAGCAGUGUGUGUGUGGGGAGAAAUUCCUUCCUCUUGGCCGGGGGCUGCUAGGUGUGAAUUUCCCAGCCGUUGGGGGUUUCCAGUCACAGAUCCUUUACAUUAAAGGAGGAGGAAUCGUAUCCCUUUACAUAGUUUGUGAUCUCUCUAGUGGUGCUCAAUGGUUUAUAUUUUGCAAGCUGCCAGAACAGGCUGUAUAGAGUGCCCAGGAUCACUGUAAUGGAUUUAAAUCCAGGAGAAGGGCUGGAUGGAGUUAAAAGCUGCUGUCCCCAUACAUAGAUUACCACUGAAAGUCUUAAACGAUUGUAUUCCUUCAUCAACCCCUCAACCAUUGCGGAAGAAUCCAACAUAUAUAAUGUCACUGUACAUUGAGCUUUUAAUAAUUUAACACAGCUCUUAGGUAAUAACAAAGUGAUAUUAAGAGUUGUGUUCUCCUGUUGGGAGAUUUCAGUUUGUGCUUGUAAAGCUCCUUCUACACUUUUUGUCCUCAGGCAAUUGUGUGUACAGCUCCUAGGAGACACAUCUCACUGACUGUCAGCACAUCUACAACUGAGCUGGGAGAUGUGAUUCCCAGAAUGCACAGCUGCACCCACUCGAGCUGUGUCCAAGCUAGUGCCUAAAAUGAGCAGUGUCUUCACUGCACCAUGGGCUAGCCACACCAAGUACAAUCCCACCUGCCCCUUGGGUAUGUACACGGGCAGCUAGCUGCAGACAUUCUGCUGCAGACAUUCUGCUGUUUUUAGGUGCUAGCUUGAGCACAGCUAGCCCCAGUCUGUCUACGUGAGCUGGGAAUCGCACCUCACAGCUCAAAUGGGUUCAGAAGAGGCAGUUAGAUGUGUACCUGCUCAAAUUUGUGCCAGCAAGUUACAAGGAUGCGCAAAAAAAAAAAAAGUGGUAACUUUUUUCAGGGGCAAAUUGACUCCACAAAAGAGAACUGAAUAUUUACCCUUCAAUAUAAACUUUUGUGGCCAGUGAAAAUGAAGAUUUUAAUGAAAAAGGACUUAGGAAUGUUGUAGUUACCAGACAACCCUUAAAAUAUCUCCAGUAAUAGAAUACACAAAUCAGGCAGAGGAGUAGAUUUCACAACUGUGGUGCCUUUCAAAAGCUGAACAAUGAGAACAAACAUGAUAUUUUGCCUGCUGGACCAGGGUAGCUGUUAUAUUAUUGUUGCUCUGCAAGCGUCCCCCUGGAAAGGGCCUCUCUUUGCUCCAGCUUUCCAGUAACAAUACUCUAG